This 300-nucleotide ribosomal RNA is filed under the name uncultured archaeon. RNAcentral describes it as "partial 16S ribosomal RNA". It matches the Rfam family "Bacterial small subunit ribosomal RNA", at positions 496 to 795 of the family's 1533-position model. The record is from RNAcentral.
GGUAACGUCGGGGCAGCAGGCGGGGUAGUAGGGGGGGCGGUAGCGUUAGUCGGAAUCACUGGGCGUAAAGGGUGCGUAGGCGUCCUCAUAAGGCUGCUGUGAAAGCCCACGGCUUAACCGUGGAACUGCAGGGGAAACUGUGAGGAUAGAGUGCUGAAGAGGUAGAUGGAAUUUCCGGUGUAGGGGUAAAAUGCGUAGAGAUCGGAAGGAAUACCGGUUGCGAAGGCGAUCUACUGGAAAAUGAUUGACGCUCAGAUGCGAAAGCGUGGGGAGCAAACAGGAUUAGAUACCCGAGUAGUC